RNAcentral lists this ribosomal RNA (305 nucleotides) under uncultured bacterium. RNAcentral describes it as "bacterial SSU rRNA". It matches the Rfam family "Bacterial small subunit ribosomal RNA", at positions 335 to 658 of the family's 1533-position model. The record is from RNAcentral.
AUCCUACGGGGGGCAGCAGUGGGGGAUAUUGCACAAUGGGGGGAACCCUGAUGCAGCGACGCCGCGUGGGCGAUGGAGUGCUUCGGCAUGUAAAGCCCUAUCAGCAGGGAAGAAAAUGACGGUACCUGACUAAGAAGCCCCGGCUAAAUACGUGCCAGCAGCCGCGGUAAUACGUAGGGGGCAAGCGUUAUCCGGAUUUACUGGGUGUAAAGGGAGCGUAGACGGCUGUGCAAGUCUGAAGUGAAAGCCCGUGGCUCAACCGCGGAACUGCUUUGGAAACUGUAUAGCUUGAGUACUGGAGAGGG